Oryctolagus cuniculus (rabbit) is the source of this 3061-nucleotide long non-coding RNA. RefSeq annotates it as LHFPL tetraspan subfamily member 3 protein. The record is from RefSeq and is a predicted model, not a curated record. NCBI's taxonomy places the organism in Eukaryota, Metazoa, Chordata, Mammalia, Lagomorpha, Leporidae.
GAGGAAGGGGAGGCGGGGGAGGCGGGGGAGAAUGCCCGGAGCUGCCGCCGCCGCCGCCGCCGCCGCCGCCGCGAUGCUCCCGGCUCAGGAGGCAGCCAAGCUGUACCACACCAACUAUGUGCGGAACUCGCGGGCCAUCGGCGUGCUGUGGGCCAUCUUCACCAUCUGCUUUGCCAUCGUCAACGUGGUGUGCUUCAUCCAGCCCUACUGGAUCGGCGACGGCGUGGACACGCCGCAAGCCGGCUAUUUCGGGCUCUUCCACUACUGCAUCGGCAACGGCUUCUCCCGGGAGCUGACCUGCAGGGGCAGCUUCACGGACUUCUCCACGCUGCCCUCGGGCGCCUUCAAAGCUGCCUCCUUCUUCAUCGGCCUCUCCAUGAUGCUCAUCAUCGCCUGCAUCGUGUGCUUCACCCUCUUCUUCUUCUGCAACACGGCCACCGUGUACAAGAUCUGUGCCUGGAUGCAGCUCACCUCCGCUGCCUGCCUCGUGCUUGGCUGUAUGAUUUUCCCUGAUGGCUGGGAUUCAGAUGAAGUAAAACGGAUGUGUGGAGAAAAGACGGACAAGUACACCCUUGGGGCAUGUUCGGUCCGCUGGGCAUACAUUCUGGCUAUUAUUGGAAUCUUGGAUGCCCUCAUCCUCUCGUUUCUAGCAUUUGUGCUUGGGAACCGACAAGACAGCUUGAUGGCAGAGGAACUGAAGGCAGAAAACAAAGACGACGGAAACGCUUAAGGCAAGCCAAGUUCUGCUAAGCCAAUAUUCUCUAGAAUGAGCACAAAACAAAUCAAAUAACAGCUAAACCAACCGAACAACAGCUUUUGUACAUCAACAUCAAGAAGGAAGACGCUUGGGAGAGAUGAGAGCUCAGAGACGAAAUGUAGACAAGCCCGACACACCCCUUUGUCAAAGCACCCUCCAAACCUAGAGCAGCAGAGAUGGGAAGGACUUUUCUGGAAAGAUGCAAUCGUGGAUUACACACCAGCUCAUCGGAACUCACUGAAUAAGAUCAGAUAACAUUCACGAAAAAAAAUCAUAUUCAGGAAAUACUUUAAGGAAGCAGGAUAUAUGUGUACCAGAAUUAACAUGUAAAACUAUAUACACAUACCGAGGUUUGUAAACUGUCCUUUUUUUAAUCAAACUGAAAACAAAAACAAACAAACAAACAAAAAGCUUUAACCUUUUGACACUAUUUUCAAAAAGACAGUUAGGUCUAAAUUAUCCCUAUCUUAACAGCUAAGAGACUGGCCGAGUGUCACUUGUUGAGAAAGCAUCUUAGAGAACGCCUCUGACCUUCGGUUCUGCAGCUCCACUCUUCUUUCUUUCACUGUGUGAUUACUUUCAACCACUCAGUUAUGAAGAGACGUAACACUCAAACUUUGUACCCAGUCUGUGUUCACUUUAAUCUGUCCAUGCAAGUGAUGACUGAGAAAGUGUUUCUGACAUAUACUCUUACUCCACCAAGCUGUAUACCGCGCAAGGUACAUCUUUACAUCCUAGGUUGCCAAGCAACAGAGAUUUCCCUGUCUUUCAGAAAACACCACCGAGGACCUCUGAAAAAUAGAAAAAGCUCAUUUUCACCUUGGAUGCUCACAUGUAAUAUAUAGGCUGCUAUCCAAUAAAUACUUUUUUCUAAUUCUCCCUAGUAUGUGCAUAGGGGUUUAAUAUACUUUAUAAGUAGAUAUCUAAAAUAUCUCUUUUUUUAUUUCUUUGCCAUAGAUGUCAUCGGAAAUCCAUACUCUUUAUUUCCCCUAUUGACAGGUACUCAUUUUUUAAUCAUUCCUCAGUCCAUUAAACCUACUUCUAAAUCAUAGUAAGUAAUACUAACAAAACAAAUAACAAUCUAAUAGCCUUAGAAAUAAAUGACUAUAUACAUAUACAGGUCAAAGAAACUUGGUAGGAAUAAGAGACCUUUUUGUUGACUAAUGUUGGUUUUGAGAAUUCUCUGAUUGUUUUUCAUUGGCUAGCAUUUGGAAGCACUUAAAACUAAAGGAGUUGUCUUCAACAGUCUUUGCUUCCCAAGCAUUGCCCACCAACGCCAUCACCACAUACCCUGCCAACAUCCAAAACACAGGAGUAUUUAAUACUGAAAGAUCCAACUGCCUGAUGAAUACAAGCUACAGUGCACAUGUAGGGAUAGUUGGUGGAAGCCAAACCAUGUUCUAUACCUGAGCAGAAAAUGUAGACACAUGGAAUGCCUUCACAUGUAGACGCAAAAGUAAGAUCAAGUUAGCAUACAUUACUAGCACAUCCGACAAAGAACUGAUGUGCACCGAGGCUGACUCCUUUCACCCUAUAUUAGGACCAUGCCUGUUUUGGUCACAUGAUUCUGGUAUAGCCUUCUUUUCACCGUCAAUGAGACAAUGUGUCAAAUGACUCAAAGCAUAUACCCAGUAUGGGCAAGUGAGUAAACUCACUUCGCAGAGAUGUGACUUUUCUAAAGAACCGAGUAAGGGAAGAUGUGGCAUUGUGACUAAAGGAUUGGCUGUUCCGGGGGUGAUUUGUUGCGUGGAGUAUCAGCUCUUCUACUGCAUCCAGAACAUCCUACUUACUAAAUUCAAUUACACACAACUUUUCAAGAAUUCAUCUUUAUUUAAAGGGAGAUACCUCUCUACUUUCUACUGUACCUACAGUCAGCACAGAAGGUAUUGGCUUUCUUUAACCCAUGUAAAUUACAGCUUCCAUUGGGAGGCCUACAUCACUAGUAGUGGUAUUAACAAAAAUGACAAAGUAUUUUACACCUACAUACAAAGGUUCCUUAAAGGUUUUGCCAUAGAACUUAAGUGUAAUUUAGCAUACCACAGUGCUGUGAAGAUGGGUCAUUGAUGAUGUGCCAUUUGUACAUAGGUAAUAGUCGUGUCAAUCACUAAAUGUUAAUUAAGUAUAACAAGUCUGUUUUUAUCUUUUUAAAAAAAAAACAAGAAGUGACUCCCCUCCUCAUUCUGUUCUGUUGUAUUGCGUCCAAAAGUUGUGUGUAAUUUUUUUAAGGUCCAGGAAAUGUAAAGAAAUUUGUUGGAAUAUCUGAAUUUCUGUAAAAAAAUAAAAAUAAGAUUUUGGUACUUAAAA